UGAGCAUGGUGGUGCACGCCUGUGGUC
Molecule: non-coding RNA, 27 nt
Filed under: Homo sapiens (human)
Lineage: Eukaryota; Metazoa; Chordata; Mammalia; Primates; Hominidae
Source: RNAcentral